Molecule: RNA transcript, 4792 nt
Organism: Ahaetulla prasina
Lineage: Eukaryota; Metazoa; Chordata; Lepidosauria; Squamata; Colubridae
Gene: TASP1
Gene name: taspase 1
Exons: 16
Source: RefSeq, a predicted model, not a curated record
UUUGCCCGGCCGGAGAGAGAAAGGGGGGGGCGAACUCUCCUGCAGUGAUGCCUGAGCCUGCAGCCAUGUGGGGUGGAGGCAAAGCAUGAGGGUUGUGGGAGGAAGAUGAAGGGACUGUCUCGUCUCGGGGGACUUACCUGCCUAGUCGAGGGUCCAACCUGGCUGUGAGCGAAGCCUCACCGAAAUGGAGGAAGACUCUUUUCCCAUGUUUUCCCUUGGAUGGAAGCAUGCUCUGCUCCCCAGGAAACGAUAGCCUUGAAGUAUGAUCAUGGAAAAGGGAAUAAGCUCAGUAGAAGUUCCUCCUAUGUCAGCUCAUGCCACUGCAGUAAGGAUGAUGGUAAAAGAACAUGAAGGCAAACCGGCUCAAAAAGUGAGACGAGUGGGAUUUGUACUUGUACAUGCAGGUGCAGGUUAUCAUUCUGAAUCCAAAGCCAAAGAAUAUAAACACGUGUGCAAAAGAGCAUGUCGGAAGGCAAUUGAAAAGCUACAGGCUGGAGCUCUUGUAACAGAUGCAGUGACUGCAGCGCUAGUUGAACUAGAGGAUUCACCCUUUACAAAUGCAGGAAUGGGAUCUAAUCUAAACCUCUUAGGUGAAAUUGAAUGCGAUGCCAGUAUUAUGGAUGGAAAAUCACUAAAUUUUGGAGCAGUGGGAGCUCUCAGUGGAAUCAAAAAUCCUGUCUCCGUGGCAAAUAAAUUAUUAUGUGAAGGGCAGAAGGGAAAACUAUCUGCUGGCAGAAUUCCACCUUGCUUCUUAGUUGCUGAGGGAGCCUUCAGAUGGGCAGUGGAUCAUGGAAUAUCAGCCUGUCCUCCAGGCGUCAUGGCAACAAGACUUAGCUUAGCGGCUUUUAAAAGGAACAAGAGGAAAUUAGAGCUGGCUGAAAAAGUAGAAACAAAUCUUUUUCAGCUGAAGAAAAGACGACAAACAAGUGAAAAGGAAAAUGAAUCAGAAACAUUGGACACUGUUGGAGCAGUUGUUAUUGAUCAAGAAGGAAAUGUUGCUGCUGCCGUGUCCAGUGGAGGCUUAGCUUUGAAACAUCCUGGGAGAGUUGGUCAGGCAGCUCUUUAUGGAUGUGGUUGCUGGGCUGAAAAUAUGGGAUUUCAGAAUCCUUACUCUACAGCUGUGAGUACCUCAGGUUGUGGAGAGCAUCUUGUACGGACAUUACUGGCCAGAGAAUGUUCAUGUGCUUUGCAGAAUGAAGAUGCUCAUCAAGCUCUGCUAGAAACUAUGCAAAACAAGUUUAUUAGUUCACCUUUUUUAGCCAAUGAAGAUGGUGUUCUGGGAGGAGUGAUAGUUCUCCGCUCUUGUAGGUGUUCUGCAGAGCCCAACUCUUCACAGGAUAAACAAUCUCUAUUAGUAGAGUUCCUGUGGAGUCAUACAACAGAAAGCAUGUGUGUGGGAUAUAUGUCAGCACAGGAUGGCAAAGCUAAGGUAGUCCUCAACUUAUGACCGCAAUUGAGUCGAAAAUUUCUGUUGGUAAGCAAGAUAAUUCUUAAAUCAACAAAUAAGAUGCUCUUGGAAAAGGUAGAAUUCUGUGAUCUUGGAAGGUGUGAAAACUUAGUAAUAACAAGGAAGGUUCAACUUACACUAUACUAUUUUAAAAACCUUGAACAAAAACACAAAACUCACAUUUCAAGGCUUCCACAUGGUGCCGUGGCAGGACAGUCGGUAGCAAUUGAAGGAGGAGUUUGUCGACUGGAAAGCCCAGUGAACUGAACCACUAUGUAAUGGGUCAGCACAAAUGCUAUUUGUAUAAUAAGAUCCUUUGUGUUUUAAGAGAGAGUGAGAUUUCUAUUAUUUUAUAUACUUUUAUUGCAACCACAUGCACCCUAACUUGAAACAAGUGCUGCUGUAGCUUUAGAUUCUAAAAUUUUGUUUGAAUGUAUAUGGGAACACAUCUCCCAGGAGAAAAGAAAUUCGGUUCUCACUUGCGUGAAAUAUUUUAACGUUAGAAAAGAUUUUAUUAGUUACUUGAUCAGUCUGUAAGACAAUGACAUCCUGAAAUUGCCAGAAAGAAAUGGUUUUUAAAAACAGAAGGUAUGCUGAUCACAGAUGUUAUAUUGAGAACAUACAGGGUGGGUUGAAAUAAACAAGUGUCUGAAUGUAGUCAAUACUCUUUGAUAGUCUCAGGAUGGUUCUAUGAUUGCUUAAGCAUACCCUGAAUUUCCAAUGGGAUAUAAUAAUUUCUUUCUAGCAAAGAGGGAUUGAUUCCAGUGAAACAGUCUAGGACAGGGUUACAGCCAGACUUUAUGUUCAGUUAUUCAGUUGUGGUACUUAUUUUGGCUUAAAUGUUAUAUAGCUUAAAGCGUUUAUGUAUUAUGAAAGGCUCUGUAAAGAUAACGUACGGUCAUGAAGUCUUUACUUUGUGUAUAACUGCAUAUUGGGAUGUACAGAAGAACAACAUUUAUUGAAAGAGUUAGUACUAUUCUUUGGUUUAAAUAUAUUUUGAGAGAAUAAUAUAGAAAUAAACUAUUACUGGACAAUGCAAAAUGUAUUAAAGUGGUGAUGUAGAGGAACCUAAUUCUAGCUUUCUUCUGUUCCUUAAAUUCCAAAGUUAAAGUAAAUGGGUAUGCAUGUGUGCAAUUAAAUUUACAUGUAAUGUAAGUGGUGUUACAAGUGGCCUUUUAAAUGAUUUUAUGCAGCCAGAAUCUAUGAAUGGUACAUAUUUUCUUAUACUGUAUGUUGUAAAUAUGUUUAGAUUUUUUUUGACAAUUGUUCAGGUUUCUUUCGAUAUGUACUUGGGUGUAAUGGCUGUAAGACAAUCCCUAAAAAAAAAAAAAAAGUCUAGCAAAUGAGCUAUUUGAAUAGUACCAGGAGAUGAUAUAAGCAUUCUUUAGAAGUCCUUGCUCAACAACCUGCAAAUUAUUCUUAAACAUCUGCACUAUACUUGUCUUCUCUAACUGAAGCAUCAUCAAACAAUUUAAUAUUGUAAUUAGAAGAAAAUACUGUUUACAACUGUUUCUAAUUUCAUGAAAAAGAUGAACUCAUGUCAAGUCAUCUUAUUUGUUGAUUUCUGUUUUUUUUUUUUAAGCAAUACAAUUCACUAAGAUUUCUAGUCAUUUCCAAAGAGGCACAGAUGGCUGUAAACUGUCACCACAAAUAACUGUCCUGAGAUAUAAUAUGUCCAUAAAUUCAACGUUUUAUCACUAGACUCAUUUGAAAGUGUACAUUGCAGCUGUGCCACUCAUUCUUUCAAUCAUUCAUGCCUCAGAGGAAGUAGUUAUUUAUCGUUUGAGAAAGCCAGUUUUUUUUGAGGGUGGGGAAGAUUGAUCCUCUAUUGGAUAUAUUGUAAUAUUGAUCAAAAAUAAAGUAUCUACUUUAACACACCCUUAGAAAUAUGUAGAUGGCAGACAGGGAGAGAAUUAUAUGUUAUGCUACUUAAUGUACUAUGCACAUAGUUUGGAUUUUCCUAAUAGUAGUCCUUACCUCCAGACCAAAAACUAUGAUUCAUAUUGCUCGAUUCUUGCAUUGUGACUUUAUCCCUUGUCUAGCAACAUUAUAUGAAGACAACUCACCAUAGGAAACCUGAUCCAACCACAGACUCUUACACUGAUGAUAAUAUUUCUACUCUGAUAAUAGCAAAUAAUUUUUUUUUAUUCAGUAUUGUAAAAAUAUUGAAAAUGUACAUGUUGAUACUAGGAUGGUAUAGUCAUCUGUUUUCAGCACUUUGAUAUGUAUGUCAUUAAAUUACACUUCAAGGUAGAUAAUCUGAUGUAUCACGUAAAUAGCUAUGAAAAAUGAAUGGAUGCGUAUCAGAAAAAGUUACCAACUGUAGGUGGUAGGAUCCUAUCCCCCUCUGCUCAUUAGUAAACAGAUUAUUCAGCAUUGAACUAAAAUAUUUGGUCUAGAAACAUUUGAAAAAAAAUGAAAUCUUAUAAAGGUUGUAAAAGUUCAAUUUCUGUUAAUGAAGAAAUGCAACUAGUAAUUUUAAACCCUCCUUCAGAGUGAAUUUAGGUAAGGUAAGCCUAAAGAAUAGGCCUGGUGCUGUGAUACAUAGAACUUCAACCAGAACAUUAAUAAAUGCUAGCUUUGUUUUCUUAAAUUAAAAGGGUCCAGGGAUUGGGAAAUGGGAUAACUUACCACAGCCAAAUCACCAUGGACAAAUCACUGUUGGACAAAUCACUGCAGGACAAUGUAACAAUAUUGUUUAAUUAUUUAAAAUAAAUAAAAAAAUUAGUUUAUGCCAUUCACAUUUCAUUCUGUCCCUCCUUUUGCAUCCUUUCUUUAUUCUAUUCUAUUCCUGUUCUGUUCUGUUCUGUUCUGUUCUGUUCUGUUCUGUUCUAUUCUAUUCUAUUCUAUUCCACAAUUUCUUUGAUAUUAGAUUAACUCUUGUCCUGUAGCGAGUUGGCCUGUGGCGAGUUGGCCAUGGUGAAUUGUCAUAGACCCCCCCAGGAAUUGUUUUUUAAUUUUAAGAACAAGAUAGAAAUAUCAAAGAUGAAUGAAUUUCAACAGAAGGGAACUAGAUAGUCUCUAAUAGCAUGUCAUUUUUUUACUCUAAACAAAUAAUAUGUAAUUCAAUGAAAAAUUAUACAUGAAAAUUUAAAUGCUAAUGAAUGACAAUAUGUGAAGUUGCAUGUAAAUUACACAUUGUAAACUGUUGAUCUAGGUUAAUCAAACAAUUACAUUGGUAGAAGCAGUGGACAGGUUGGAGCUGUCAUGUUCUAUUACUUUUUUUUAACAAGAAUAUAAUCUGAUAUUUCAUCUACAGUAAAAUGUAUGUGAACAUUAAAAGAAAAUAAUAUGGAAUUCUAAGGAAAUCUCAUGGAAUGUAUAUUAAAGUUUUUAAAAUGUAAA